CUCACAUAAUAAAUAAGCCUAUCAAGAAGGCAAUUUAUAUUAAUUUAGAAUAAACUAGACUCUGUGUCCUCUGAAUUAAACACCAAUGAGCACCCAAAAGUUUAGACUUCCUUGCUUUUAUUACUUAUAUCUGUUUAUUUUUUAUGAUGCAGUCUCUGAGCCUGUUCCAUUUGAAACUGAAGCUCCCUCAAUGACCAUAGUUCCCACCACAGACAUUGAGCCUGUAACUGUGAGAACUGAGGCUACAGUGACAACAUUAGCUCCAAAAACAUCGCAACGAACAAGAACACGUCGUCCACGUCCCAAACAUAAAACCACGCCACGCCCAGAGACACCGCAGACCAAACUAGACUUUGGACCUAUUACUCCUGGGACAUCUUCAGCUCCAACAACAACAACAAAAAGAACCCGUCGUCCACAUCCCAAACCUAAAACCACGCCCCAUCCAGAAGUACCUCAGACUAAACUGGUUCCUGCCACAAUCCUCGAACCAGUUCUUAGAACUGAGGCUUCAGGGACAACAGCAG
This 527-nucleotide small RNA is filed under the name Pan troglodytes (chimpanzee). RNAcentral describes it as "retained intron". The record is from RNAcentral. Lineage: Eukaryota; Metazoa; Chordata; Mammalia; Primates; Hominidae.